Molecule: long non-coding RNA, 638 nt
Organism: Juglans microcarpa x Juglans regia
Lineage: Eukaryota; Viridiplantae; Streptophyta; Magnoliopsida; Fagales; Juglandaceae
Exons: 2
Source: RefSeq, a predicted model, not a curated record
AUUGCAAAGGAUGGAGACUUGCCUAAAGUUAUCAGUGGGUGAAAGAGAGGAGACCAUCUGUUGAAUUAUCUGAAGCUGUAUACCAGCAACUGCAGGAGUACGAGCAGAAGAUCUUUGGAUCAAUUGGUAUUGGCAACCCAGUCCCAUCAGUCUUUGCACCAACGGGUUUGCCUUCGUUUAGAUUUGGCUUCCCAAAUAUUAACGAUCUGUUUGCCAUUCCCGCUUUCAGCAAUGUUGGUGCUACCUCCAUCUUUACUCGUCCACCUUUAGACAUUCCUCCACACGAAUUUACUUUUGGAGCUAGCCAGAUUCAAAAUAAUUACGAUGGUACACUGAACCCAAACGGGAGUGAUAUUCAAAUGGAUGGUUCUUGAUUUUCCUUUCUUCUAUCCUUUGCGAGAUGAAGCCAAGCUUGGUCAGAAGUUAAAUUAGCCUGCCCUGACAUAUGAGUUUCUUCUUAACACAUGUGGAUGUAAAGUGGGAGUAAAAUACGCGAAUGUUUUGGCUUGUAAGAUUUGACAUGUUCGCAAAUUGUGGAUGCCUUGUCUUCUCCAAUCUAAUUUUCAAAAUUGCAAUGAUCUGAUCUCAUUGCUAAUAUUAUUCAAGUGAUACAAGAGGGUAUAUCUAUCUUCUCCUGA